RNAcentral lists this ribosomal RNA (495 nucleotides) under Triticum aestivum (bread wheat). RNAcentral describes it as "partial small subunit ribosomal RNA". Lineage: Eukaryota; Viridiplantae; Streptophyta; Magnoliopsida; Poales; Poaceae. The record is from RNAcentral.
AUGGCUCCUACUCUCCAGGAUGUGUCCCUUUUAUUGGGACUACCGUUGGCAGGUCAUGCCAUAGGACCGUUGGAGGCACCGGCUGAUUGGCAGCUUGGUAUUGCACAACAUUUUGCGGGUAUUUAUGACCGUGCUCCGGUGCUGACGUCGGAUAAUCACGGAGCUAAGUAUGAAUGGUUGCUCCAUUUCCAGAUCCAAAAAUUCCCGGGGUAUCCAAGGGUCCCGUUGAAUGCGACACAGAUCACGUGCAGUCUGGAGGCAUAUAUACUAUGGCUUCUCGGCAAGGUGAUGUUCACAGAGAACCAUGUCAGCACUAUUAGCACGAGCUAUAUCCCUAUUGCAUUGGAGAUCACAAGCGCUGAGAUGCCGGAUCAGAUCACACAGAGGAGAUGGGGUUCGACUGUCUUAGUGUAUACAUACCGAGCUAUGUGCAACACCUGCCAGCUUACGUCACCCUUGCCCGCCCUUCUUGGAUGCCCUCUAUUUCUGCAACUG